AAUGUGGUGGCCUCAUUUGGCUGGUGUGGUACAGAGAAACCAGCCGUGUUUACAUGGCCAUCACAUG
This is a non-coding RNA of Poecilia formosa (Amazon molly), 67 nucleotides long. The record is from Rfam. NCBI's taxonomy places the organism in Eukaryota, Metazoa, Chordata, Actinopteri, Cyprinodontiformes, Poeciliidae.